CCAACGGUCCUUAUCAGGACCACUAUCUAUUGAUAUUUUAUUCUCU
Trichinella sp. T8 is the source of this 46-nucleotide non-coding RNA. NCBI's taxonomy places the organism in Eukaryota, Metazoa, Nematoda, Enoplea, Trichinellida, Trichinellidae. The record is from Rfam.